GACGAACGCUGGCGGCGUGCUUAACACAUGCAAGUCGAACGGAAAGGCCCUGCUUUUGUGGGGUGCUCGAGUGGCGAACGGGUGAGUAACACGUGAGUAACCUGCCCUUGCCUUUGGGAUAACUUCAGGAAACUGGGGCUAAUACCGGAUAGGAGCUCCUGCUGCAUGGUGGGGGUUGGAAAGUUUCGGCGGUUGGGGAUGGACUCGCGGCUUAUCAGCUUGUUGGUGGGGUAGUGGCUUACCAAGGCUUUGACGGGUAGCCGGCCUGAGAGGGUGACCGGCCACAUUGGGACUGAGAUACGGCCCAGACUCCUACGGGAGGCAGCAGCGGGGAAUAUUGCACAAUGGGCGGAAGCCUGAUGCAGCAACGCCGCGUGCGGGAUGACGGCCUUCGGGUUGUAAACCGCUUUCGCCUGUGACGAAGCGUGAGUGACGGUAAUGGGUAAAGAAGCACCGGCUAACUACGUG
RNAcentral lists this ribosomal RNA (468 nucleotides) under uncultured bacterium. RNAcentral's name for it is "partial 16S ribosomal RNA". It matches the Rfam family "Bacterial small subunit ribosomal RNA", at positions 28 to 507 of the family's 1533-position model. The record is from RNAcentral.